This 358-nucleotide ribosomal RNA is filed under the name uncultured bacterium. RNAcentral describes it as "bacterial SSU rRNA". It matches the Rfam family "Bacterial small subunit ribosomal RNA", at positions 8 to 353 of the family's 1533-position model. The record is from RNAcentral.
AGAGUUUGAUCCUGGCUCAGGAUGAACGCUAGCUACAGGCUUAACACAUGCAAGUCGAGGGGCAGCUAUUUUAGUUUUGCUUGCAAACUAAAGAUGGCGACCGGCGCACGGGUGAGUAACACGUAUCCAACCUGCCGAUAACUCGGGGGAUAGCCUUUCGAAAGAAAGAUUAAUAUCCGAUAGUAUAUUUUCUCCGCAUGGCGAGAAUAUUAAAGAAUUUCGGUUAUCGAUGGGGAUGCGUUCCAUUAGUUUGUUGGCGGGGUAACGGCCCACCAAGACUACGAUGGAUAGGGGUUCUGAGAGGGAGGUCCCCCACAUUGGAACUGAGACACGGUCCAAACUCCUACGGGAGGCAGCA